AAUUAUUAUUUAAUUAAAAUUAUAUUAUAUUUGAUCGUGUUGGAUAUGUGAACUGGGACAUUGCUAAGGUCAAGGGAGGCCUCAUAAUAAUGGUGUUACAAGCAGACAAACUAUAAAACGAAAAUCAACAAAGACUUGUUCAUUAAUAUAAACAAAAAGCUUUUGAGAGAGGGUUGAAGAUGCUCUUCCAUGGCUUUGGUUGUCUGUUAU
Molecule: long non-coding RNA, 210 nt
Filed under: Carica papaya (papaya)
Lineage: Eukaryota; Viridiplantae; Streptophyta; Magnoliopsida; Brassicales; Caricaceae
Description: long non-coding RNA (CPAP_LNC008439)
Source: RNAcentral